GUAGGGAAUAUUGCACAAUGGGGGAAACCCUGAUGCAGCGACGCCGCGUGAGUGAUGAAGGCCUUCGGGUCGUAAAGCUCUGUCGUAUGGGACUAACAAAAUGAAGGUACCAUGCAAGAAAGGAUCGGCUAACUUCGUGCCAGCAGCCGCGGUAAGACGAGGGAUCCUAGCGUUGUUCGGAAUUAUUGGGCGUAAAGCGGGUGUAGGCGGGCCUGUCAGUCAGGUGUGAAAUCCCAGGGCUUAACCCAGGAAGUGCACUUGAUACUGCAGGUCUUGAGUGUGGUAGAGGCUAUUAGAAUUCUUGGUGUAGUGGUGAAAUACGUAGAUAUCAAGAGGAAUACCGGAGGCGAAGGCGGAUAGCUGGGCCAACACUGACGCUGAGACCCGAAAGCGUGGGGAUCAAACAGGAUUAGAAACCCGGGUAGUCC
This 428-nucleotide ribosomal RNA is filed under the name uncultured bacterium. Its description in RNAcentral is "partial 16S ribosomal RNA". It matches the Rfam family "Bacterial small subunit ribosomal RNA", at positions 354 to 796 of the family's 1533-position model. The record is from RNAcentral.